Molecule: transfer RNA, 66 nt
Filed under: Microbulbifer pacificus
Lineage: Bacteria; Pseudomonadati; Pseudomonadota; Gammaproteobacteria; Cellvibrionales; Microbulbiferaceae
Also listed under: 3 other names
Rfam family: tRNA
About the family: Transfer RNA (tRNA) molecules are approximately 80 nucleotides in length. Their secondary structure includes four short double-helical elements and three loops (D, anti-codon, and T loops).
Source: RNAcentral
UCGUUAGCUCAGUUGGUAGAGCAGUUGGCUUUUAACCAAUUGGUCGCUGGUUCGAGUCCAGCACGA